GAUGAAGAACGCAGUGAAAUGCGAUAAGUAAUGUGAAUUGCAGAAUUCAGUGAAUCAUCGAAUCUUUGAACGCACAUUGCGCCCUCUGGGAUUCCGGGGGGCAUGCCUGUUCGAGCGUCAUUAUAACCACUCAAGCUCUCGCUUGGUAUUGGGGUUCGCGGUUCCGCGGCCCCUAAAAUCAGUGGCGGUGCCUGUCGGCUCUACGCGUAGUAAUACUCCUCGCGAUUGAGUCCGGUAGGUCUACUUGCCAGCAACCCCCAAUUUUUACAGGUUGACCUCGGAUCAGGUAGGGAUACCCGCUGAACUUAAGCAUAUCAAUAAGCGGAGGA
This 329-nucleotide unclassified non-coding RNA is filed under the name soil metagenome. Its description in RNAcentral is "partial contains 5.8S ribosomal RNA, internal transcribed spacer 2, and large subunit ribosomal RNA". The stretch from base 1 to 120 matches the Rfam family "5.8S ribosomal RNA", at positions 35 to 154 of the family's 154-position model. The record is from RNAcentral.